GGUGUCGAGUGCAUGGGCAUAAGCCCGCCUAACUGUGAGACCAACAAGUCGAGCAGAUGCGAAAGCAGGCCCAAGUGAUCCGGCGGUAGAAAGUGGAAUUGCCGUCGCUCAACGGAUAAAAGGUACCUUAGGGAUAACAGGCUGAUCACGCCCAAGAGUUCAUAUCGACGGCGUGGUUUGGCACCUCGAUGUCGGCUCGUCGCAUCCUGGGGCUGGAGAAGGUCCCAAGGG
RNAcentral lists this ribosomal RNA (231 nucleotides) under Agathobacter rectalis. RNAcentral's name for it is "partial 23S ribosomal RNA". It matches the Rfam family "Bacterial large subunit ribosomal RNA", at positions 2341 to 2571 of the family's 2925-position model. Lineage: Bacteria; Bacillati; Bacillota; Clostridia; Lachnospirales; Lachnospiraceae. The record is from RNAcentral.